CUAAUACAUGCAAGUCGAACGAGAGCGACCGGUGCUUGCACUGGUCAAUCUAGUGGCGAACGGGUGAGUAACACGUGGGUAACCUGCCCAUCAGAGGGGGAUAACAUUCGGAAACGGAUGCUAAAACCGCAUAGGUUCUAGAGUCGCAUGACUCAAGAAGGAAAAGAGGCUUCGGCUUCUGCUGAUGGAUGGACCCGCGGUGCAUUAGCUAGUUGGUGAGGUAACGGCUCACCAAGGCCGUGAUGCAUAGCCGACCUGAGAGGGUGAUCGGCCACAUUGGGACUGAGACACGGCCCAAACUCCUACGGGAGGCAGCAGUAGGGAAUCUUCCGCAAUGGACGCAAGUCUGACGGAGCAACGCCGCGUGAGUGAAGAAGGAUUUCGGUUCGUAAAACUCUGUUGUUAGAGAAGAACAGCGCAUAGAGUAACUGUUAUGCGUGUG
RNAcentral lists this ribosomal RNA (442 nucleotides) under Granulicatella elegans. RNAcentral's name for it is "bacterial SSU rRNA". It matches the Rfam family "Bacterial small subunit ribosomal RNA", at positions 48 to 471 of the family's 1533-position model. Lineage: Bacteria; Bacillati; Bacillota; Bacilli; Lactobacillales; Carnobacteriaceae. The record is from RNAcentral.